This 548-nucleotide ribosomal RNA is filed under the name uncultured Glomeromycotina. Its description in RNAcentral is "SSU rRNA". It matches the Rfam family "Eukaryotic small subunit ribosomal RNA", at positions 548 to 1098 of the family's 1831-position model. Lineage: Eukaryota; Fungi; Glomeromycota. The record is from RNAcentral.
UUGGAGGGCAAGUCUGGUGCCAGCAGCCGCGGUAAUUCCAGCUCCAAUAGCGUAUAUUAAAGUUGUUGCAGUUAAAAAGCUCGUAGUUGAAUUCCGGGAUCAGUACGUUGGUCGUGCCUUAGGUACGUACUGGUGUUACUGGUUUCUACCUUCUGACGAACCAUCAUGUCAUUAAUUUGGUGUGGCGGGGAAUCAGGACUGUUACUUUGAAAAAAUUAGAGUGUUUAAAGCAGGCUCGCGCUUGAAUACAUUAGCAUGGAAUAAUGAAAUAGGACGUUGAUCCUAUUUUGUUGGUUUCUAGGAUUGACGUAAUGAUUAAUAGGGAUAGUUGGGGGCAUUAGUAUUCAAUUGUCAGAGGUGAAAUUCUUGGAUUUAUUGAAGACUAACUACUGCGAAAGCAUUUGCCAAGGAUGUUUUCAUUAAUCAAGAACGAAAGUUAGGGGAUCGAAGACGAUCAGAUACCGUCGUAGUCUUAACCAUAAACUAUGCCGACUAGGGAUCGGAUGAUGUUAAUUUUUUAAUGACUCAUUCGGCGCCUUACGGGAAAC